UUUGACUUGAGAUUGUCAUAGUUUCCAACAUAAGGACUAUUAUGUUUUGACAUAACCAAACGUUGUCUUUAAUCGGACAAUCAUAAAGGUUAUGAUUGAGCAUAAUAGAAAUUAUGUAAAGGAUAAUGAACAAUCAAGAUAGGAUUUGUCCCUCUCUAUGAGAGAGAUAUCUUCUGGGCCCCUCGAUAAGUGAGACUGAGAAAUGCAUGGCCGUGCUCAAAUGAAUUGAUAAUGUGAUCAAUAUCAUUUGAAUUUAUCAGUCUACUUAGAGAUCGAGAAAUCAUAAGUUUGAACAUUAUAAGUUUGACAUUGACCAUGACUUAUGUUCAAACUAGAUAUCGUGUGACAAAAGGAUUAAUACAUG
Molecule: long non-coding RNA, 364 nt
Filed under: Manihot esculenta (cassava)
Lineage: Eukaryota; Viridiplantae; Streptophyta; Magnoliopsida; Malpighiales; Euphorbiaceae
Description: long non-coding RNA (MESC_LNC007374)
Source: RNAcentral